UACGGAGGGUGCAAGCAUUGAUCGGAAUUACUGGGCGUAAAGGGCGCGUAGGCGGUUAGGAAAGUCAGAUGUGAAAUUCCGGGGCUCAACCCCGGAGCUGCAUUUGAAACUUCCCAACUUGAGUACAGUUAGGGUAAACGGAAUUCCACGUGUAGCGGUGAAAUGCGUAGAUAUGUGGAAGAACACCGGUGGUGAAGACGGUUUACUGGGCUGUAACUGACGCUGAGGCGCGAAAGCAAGGGAAGCAAACAGG
This 253-nucleotide ribosomal RNA is filed under the name uncultured bacterium. Its description in RNAcentral is "partial 16S ribosomal RNA". It matches the Rfam family "Bacterial small subunit ribosomal RNA", at positions 524 to 776 of the family's 1533-position model. The record is from RNAcentral.